AUACGUAGGGGGCGAGCGUUGUCCGGAAUGAUUGGGCGUAAAGGGCGCGUAGGCGGCGCGGUAAGUCUGGAGUGAAAGUCCUGCUUUCAAGGUGGGAAUUGCUUUGGAUACUGCCGCGCUUGAGUGCAGGAGAGGUUAUCGGAAUUCCCGGUGUAGCGGUGAAAUGCGUAGAGAUCGGGAGGAACACCAGUGGCGAAGGCGGGUAACUGGACUGCAACUGACGCUGAGGCGCGAAAGUGUGGGGAGCAAACAGGAUUAGAGACCCUGGUAGUCCACACUGUAAACGAUUAAUGCUAGGUGUAAGAGGUAUCGACCCCUUUUGUGCCGGAGUCAACACAAUAAGCAUUCCGCCUGGGGAGUACGGCCGCAAGGUUGAAACUCAAAUGAAUUGACGGGG
This 397-nucleotide ribosomal RNA is filed under the name uncultured bacterium. RNAcentral's name for it is "partial 16S ribosomal RNA". It matches the Rfam family "Bacterial small subunit ribosomal RNA", at positions 523 to 918 of the family's 1533-position model. The record is from RNAcentral.